GACGAACCGUGCGAACGUUAUUCGGAAUCACUGGGCUUAAAGCGCGUGUAGGCGGGACGGCACGUCGGUCGCUGAAAUCCCCCGGCUUAACCGGGGAACUGGCGUCGAUACGACCGCCCUGGAGGGGCGUAGGGGGACCUGGAACUUCCGGUGGAGCGGUGAAAUGCGCAGAUAUCGGGAAGAACACCCGUGGCGAAGGCGGCUCUCUGGGACGGUACUGACGCUGAGACGCGAAAGCGUGGGGAGCGAACAGG
Molecule: ribosomal RNA, 254 nt
Filed under: uncultured bacterium
Lineage: Bacteria
Description: partial 16S ribosomal RNA
Rfam family: Bacterial small subunit ribosomal RNA
Source: RNAcentral